This 57-nucleotide transfer RNA is filed under the name Bos taurus (domestic cattle). It matches the Rfam family "tRNA", at positions 8 to 63 of the family's 71-position model. Rfam says of the family: Transfer RNA (tRNA) molecules are approximately 80 nucleotides in length. Lineage: Eukaryota; Metazoa; Chordata; Mammalia; Artiodactyla; Bovidae. The record is from Rfam by way of RNAcentral.
UAGCUCAGACAGUAAAGCCUCUGCCUACAAUGCAGGAGACCUGGGUUCAAUCCCCAG